Molecule: ribosomal RNA, 957 nt
Filed under: marine metagenome
Description: bacterial SSU rRNA
Rfam family: Bacterial small subunit ribosomal RNA
Source: RNAcentral
UGAGUAACAUGUAGGUAUCUACCCUUUGGCCUGGAAUAACACGAGGAAACUUGUGCUAAUACCGGAUAAGUCUUUACGGAGAAAGCUUUAUGCACCAUUGGAUGAGCCUGCACUUGAUUAGUUUGUUGGUGGGGUAAUGGCCUACCAAGACUGUGAUCAAUAGCUGAUUUGAGAGGAUGAUCAGCCACAUUGGGACUGAGACACGGCCCAAACUCCUACGGGAGGCAGCAGUGGGGAAUCUUGCACAAUGGAGGAAACUCUGAUGCAGCGAUGCCGCGUGAGUGAAGAAGGCCUUUGGGUUGUAAAGCUCUUUCGUCGGGGAAGAAAAUGACUGUACCCGAAUAAGAAGGUCCGGCUAACUUCGUGCCAGCAGCCGCGGUAAUACGAAGGGACCUAGCGUAGUUCGGAAUUACUGGGCUUAAAGAGUUCGUAGGUGGUUGAAAAAGUUGGUGGUGAAAUCCCAGAGCUUAACUCUGGAACUGCCAUCAAAACUUUUCAGCUAGAGUAUGAUAGAGGAAAGCAGAAUUUCUAGUGUAGAGGUGAAAUUCGUAGAUAUUAGAAAGAAUACCAAUUGCGAAGGCAGCUUUCUGGAUCAUUACUGACACUGAGGAACGAAAGCAUGGGUAGCGAAGAGGAUUAGAUACCCUCGUAGUCCAUGCCGUAAACGAUGUGUGUUAGACGUUGGAAAUUUAUUUUCAGUGUCGCAGCGAAAGCGAUAAACACACCGCCUGGGGAGUACGACCGCAAGGUUAAAACUCAAAUGAAUUGACGGGGACCCGCACAAGUAGUGGAGCAUGUGGUUUAAUUCGAAGAUACGCGCAGAACCUUACCAACACUUGACAUGUUCGUCGCGACUCUAAGAGAUUAGAGUUUUCGGUUCGGCCGGACGAAACACAGUGCUGCAUGGCUGUCGUCAGCUCGUGUCGUGAGAUGUUGGGUUAAGUCCCGCAACGAGCG